This 208-nucleotide ribosomal RNA is filed under the name uncultured bacterium. RNAcentral describes it as "partial 16S ribosomal RNA". It matches the Rfam family "Bacterial small subunit ribosomal RNA", at positions 568 to 774 of the family's 1533-position model. The record is from RNAcentral.
CGCGUAGGCGGUCCGCUAAGUUGGAUGUGAAAACUCUGGGCUUAACCCAGAGCCUGCAUUCAAAACUGACGGGCUAGAGUUCUGGAGGGGGUAGCGGAACUCCUGGUGUAGCGGUGAAAUGCGUAGAUAUCAGGAGGAACACCGGUGGCGAAGGCGGCUACCUGGACAGAAACUGACGCUGAGGCGCGAAAGCUAGGGGAAGCAAACA